AAAGAGGGGAAUCUCAUGAAGAAUGGAAGUAAUGGAGAUUUAGAUCUAAGAUAAUUAGAAGUUUAUCAUAUUUUGGUAUGUUCGACCCAUUGUAUAAAUAGGGGGGGG
Molecule: small RNA, 108 nt
Filed under: Arabidopsis thaliana (thale cress)
Lineage: Eukaryota; Viridiplantae; Streptophyta; Magnoliopsida; Brassicales; Brassicaceae
Description: ATSL077270
Source: RNAcentral